Haplochromis burtoni (Burton's mouthbrooder) is the source of this 3558-nucleotide long non-coding RNA. RefSeq lists it as uncharacterized. The record is from RefSeq and is a predicted model, not a curated record. The transcript has 3 exons. Lineage: Eukaryota; Metazoa; Chordata; Actinopteri; Cichliformes; Cichlidae.
UGCAGCUGCCAGUCUUUUAGGGUAUGUCUCUACCAGCUUUGCACAUCUAGAGACUGAAAUCCUUGCCCGUUCUUCUUUGCAAAACAGCUCCACAACUGCCCUGUGAUGGCCUCAGAAGUUAACUACAGAAGUUAGACAAAGCAGAUUUCAGGCUUCUAAGUUUCAGUAAUAAGUUGCAGGUUCCUUACUGGCCUGACUGGUUUUUCCUCUUCAUCAGUUUAGUGUUGUUGCUCUACCACAUGACAAACAGUAAAAUCUCACGUGCAAAUGUACACGUUCACAAAAACUAAAAAGAAACACCUUCAUUGGGCACACCCAUGAACCAUUCACAAACACUACAUGCCAUAAUGGCACUGACCCAUACUUUGAAGAAAUGAGUGACAGCUGGAAGAAAUAAGAUCUUGGGUGUGUGAAGGCAGUUAGAUCUCUGCAUUCUACUUGAACAAUAACACAGUGUGGAAGGAAGACAUAUGGAAGUUACCUGUUAAGUGGUUAGAGUGGACUGCAUGAACAGAUGUGUAGAAUGACUCUUAAUGUGUUGUCAGGGUGGGGCUCCUGCUCUGGAAUAAUUGAGGCAUGUACAUCUUUUAGAGAUAAAAUUUUGUUUACAUUAAAACUUUCACAUUUUGCACGCCUAUAGCGCAAGGAUGUGAUAUUUGAAAAUUCUAUUAACUCUGCAAAAUAUAUAAUUACACAGUUUUUAUUACAAAUUCUACUACUCAUGGUAAUAGCAUUUAAUGACUAUUAACCAUUAUACAUGAAAAUUCUUAAUAAAUGACACUAGAAUAAGCACUAAACUGAUUAAGAACUUAAAUUUCACCCUAAUUUUCCCGUCUGUCCUUCUCACGUCUCCAGUGGUUGUACAUGUUGUCCAGGUUGAUGGCCUCGUCUGCUUGCAGCUUUGACUUCAUGCACAUCAGCUGGUCCAAAUGGUCCACUUCAAGACAAUUUCUGGAUGCUGUUUUGAAAUCUCUCUAGCUCCAAUGACACUAACCAAAGAAGAAGAAAAGAAGAAGGUCAACAAGGAUGCCAAAAGUAAAGAAUGCUCUAAAAACCCAGAAAAACUCAUUGUCAGUACAAGAAAUGGAAAAGAGGACAAAUUGCAGUUACAAACGAAUCAUCAAAAAAGAUUAAUGCAGUGAAUAACAGAAGAUCUUAAGCCAGAGACUACACAAGUCACUGCUACCGAAAUCAUACAACCAGUAAAGGCAAAACUGUAUUGCAUCAUAAUGGAGAACUGGUGAUGUGUAUGGCAAUGAUCAGGGGGAAAAAACAGUUUACAGAAUGGUUCAAUGACAAAAUAAAAACAAUAAAUACAAUCAAACAACUGGCAAGAGCAAAACUCCAGGAUCAACAUGUUCAGCCAGGAAAGACACGGCAGGUUUCUAGCAGAGUUGAGCUUUUCUUUCUUUAUAAGUUCAAAAGAUUAAAUAUUUUAAAACAUAAGAUGAAGUGAUAAAGAAUAACCACUUUGUGUUUGUUUGCUAUGUUAUAAGCGUCAAUUCUGUACUUUACAGCUCAAAUUUGUGUACAUGCUGGUAGUUGUUUGGUUUCUUCUGGUAUUCAAAGGGUUUCCAUGAUAUUUCUGUGAAAUAAUAAAUAAUAUAUUAUGAUUGUGAUAAAAUAAAUUAUUUUGUGAAAUUAUUUGAUAAGCGCACAUUAAAGCACACUGUAAAGAGAAAAACGCGAAAACAGGGAGAACAAACAGACAGAAAGCCCCCAGGUUUGCUGUGAAGUGACCAUUAUGACCACUGCACCAUCAUAACAUCUUUCACUUCCCUGUGCAAAUUCUAGAUCCCGAAUUUGCACAGGCAAAUUCACACACACAAACACACACACUUUCCACAUUUGCCUGUGCAAAUUCCAGAUCCUGAAUUAACACAGGCAAAUUCUUCAAAUGCAGAUUUUUGAAGUGUAAGUAAAAGAUGCUGUGGUGGCAUACUGACAAACAACAACCCAGAGACUCUGGAGACUCUGAAACUGCUUUACCGGCAUCACGGUGUACCCCUGUGUGGAAACCACAUUCCUGACUUUUUCUAUUGCUUUUUGAGAUAUGUAAAAAAAAAAUCUGAAAAGAAGACGGACAUUUUAUACGCAGAGUACAGCCACCACACCUUAGGAGAGCAGCGGAAACAAUUGUCUUUAUUUAUUGUUGUUCAAGGAUUAAAGGGCAAAAUAGAAACUUGUCUAUGAGAUUAGAUGUAUUUAAGAAGGUCUUAAUAGCAAAAACAUCAUUUAUUAAAAGCUUCUUUCUUCUCAGCUUAAGAACAGAAUCAAUAAAUUUUAGACUUACAGGAACUCGGAGUCUGAACCGACUACUGCAAGUGCUGUGUAAGGAAAAUACACCUUUUCACCUGGAAGUUGAGUACAUCUCGAUUUAUGACAAACAAGAAACAUUGAAGAUGCAAGCUCGUCGUUUUGACUACCCUGAAGUAAUGGAGGGUGAGGUAAGGAAUGGAUUCAGAGAAGAAACUCUGAUGGGAAACCCAGAGGUUCUCUAUGAAGACAGAAAACAAACUGGCAUAAGAUGCAACCUCAUUUUCUACACCAAAUCUGGAGCACACUACAGGGCUGCAAUAGAAGAAGCUUACCCUCAAUCCAACGCUAUUCGAAUGGAAAUAAACAAGAAACUCAAACUUAAGCUCUGUGAUGGAGGCACUGUGUCUAUAUUUGACAGUGGAAAGAUUUUGAUUCAAGGUAAAGAAGAAAUCCUUGAUGCAUUUGAGAACAGGUUUGACACAAUUAAACAAAGCGCAAAUAGGAGAAGAUAAGAACAGGUGUGGAAAACAUAGGAGCAAUUGAAAGUUGAAGAACCUGAUUCUGAAACAGGACAAACAAAAACAGUCUAAAUAAAAUUUAAAAAAGCAGGGAAAGACAGAGCCUCAGUUUUCUGUUAUUUAGGUACAUUAGAUGGGGAGAAAUCAAUAUGGGUAUUUGAACUCUUAAUAAGUGAUUAUACUGGAUAUUUUAUUCUGAUUUGCAAUACUUCUUUAUUCUUUUUAAAUUCUGUUACUCAUUACAUACAUAUGUUUUAGACUGGUGUCAGGAAAAGUAAAUAUGUUAUGAUUACAAACAUAAAAUUUAUGGUGUCUUGAUUCUAGCAGGACUGCAGCACACUGUCUUUCAGAACAUCAGUUUUUCACAGUUACUGAGAUUUAGAGUCUUUAGCUGCUCAAAUUAAGAUAAUGUCACAUCACCAGCAUUCAACAGUCCUGCAAGAGGAAACAUUAUAUAUAUAUGUGUGUGUGUAACCACGGAGAUAAAAGGUCUUAUGUACUGAAAGAAAUCAAUAAAAUUUGAUUAUUCAUGACUUUAACACUAAGAAAUUAUUUUGUGAAAUUGUUUGAUGAACACUCAGAAAAAAAAUCUCUGAAUGCAUGUAUGUGACUGAGUGAUUGAAUCUUGUAGCAUGAAAGUGUUUUGAAUGCUCAACUGACUAAAAAGGUGCUAUGUAAGUACCAACCUGAGUGUCAUGGUCAGUGAUGGGAAUAACGGCGUUACAAGUAACGGGGUUACUUUUUUCAGUAACGAGUAAUCCAAUUACUAUUUCUAUCUAGG